GUGGGGAAUAUUGGACAAUGGGCGAAAGCCUGAUCCAGCCAUGCCGCGUGUGUGAAGAAGGUCUUCGGAUUGUAAAGCACUUUAAGUUGGGAGGAAGGGCAGUAAGUUAAUACCUUGCUGUUUUGACGUUACCGACAGAAUAAGCACCGGCUAACUUCGUGCCAGCAGCCGCGGUAAUACGAAGGGUGCAAGCGUUAAUCGGAAUUACUGGGCGUAAAGCGCGCGUAGGUGGUUUUGUAAGUUGGAGGUGAAAUCCCCGGGCUCAACCUGGGAACUGCCUCCAAAACUGCAUGACUAGAGUACGGUAGAGGGUAGUGGAAUUUCCUGUGUAGCGGUGAAAUGCGUAGAUAUAGGAAGGAACACCAGUGGCGAAGGCGACUACCUGGACUGAUACUGACGCUGAGGCGCGAAAGCGUGGGGAGCAAACAGGAUUAGAAACCCUAGUAGUCC
RNAcentral lists this ribosomal RNA (450 nucleotides) under uncultured bacterium. RNAcentral's name for it is "partial 16S ribosomal RNA". It matches the Rfam family "Bacterial small subunit ribosomal RNA", at positions 354 to 796 of the family's 1533-position model. The record is from RNAcentral.